This 293-nucleotide ribosomal RNA is filed under the name uncultured Pseudomonas sp. RNAcentral's name for it is "partial 16S ribosomal RNA". It matches the Rfam family "Bacterial small subunit ribosomal RNA", at positions 1089 to 1382 of the family's 1533-position model. The record is from RNAcentral. Lineage: Bacteria; Pseudomonadati; Pseudomonadota; Gammaproteobacteria; Pseudomonadales; Pseudomonadaceae.
GUAACGAGCGCAACCCUGUCCUUAGUUACCAGCACGUUAUGGUGGGCACUCUAAGGAGACUGCCGGUGCAAACCGGGAGGAAGGUGGGGAUGACGUCAAGUCAUCAUGGCCCUUACGGCCUGGGCUACACACGUGCUACAAUGGUCGGUACAAAGGGUUGCCAAGCCGCGAGGUGGAGCUAAUCCCAUAAAACCGAUCGUAGUCCGGAUCGCAGUCUGCAACUCGACUGCGUGAAGUCGGAAUCGCUAGUAAUCGUGAAUCAGAAUGUCACGGUGAAUACGUUCCCGGGCCUU